RNAcentral lists this unclassified non-coding RNA (3607 nucleotides) under Daphnia pulex (common water flea). RNAcentral describes it as "fasciclin-2-like, transcript variant X15". The record is from RNAcentral. Lineage: Eukaryota; Metazoa; Arthropoda; Branchiopoda; Diplostraca; Daphniidae.
CGCCCGACUUGGUAGUCGUUUGGUCGAGCUUCAGUGUAGUAGUCGCGCGGGAUCGGAGCAGCGAACGGUUUUUCGACUCGUAUCGACUCUCCUCGUGCGUUUGAUUUGUUUUAAAACAUUUCACUCGUUUGGUUGUGUGUUACCUUAGAGACUGGCCAGUGGUUGUUGUUGAGAAAAAGCCAAAUAAAAAGAGAGAAAACGUUGUUUGCACUUGGUCAUCACGACAGUCGUUUGCUUUUGUUAAGGAGCCAAUAAAGGAGAGAGAGAGAAGAAAUCGUAUUAUAUUGGAGGGUUGUGCUCAAGGCGAGAGUCCAGGUGCGUCUUCACCCAGGGAAAAAGAAAAAAGAGAAAUAAAGGUGUGCUUGUCGUCUCACGGUGACCAGUGUGUUGGAAUUUUAUCGGGCCCUAUCCACACUACGCUGCUCACGCACACGUGUGUGUGUCGGUAGUAGUGGGUGGUGUUGUUUCGUCAUCCCCCCGAAAAAAGAAGAGUCGGUUUUGGUUUGAAAGUAGAAGAAAAAUUUGUUGCAAACGAAGAGAAAGCCAUGGGAGCUGAACAGAAGAAAUUCAUCGCCAUGCGGCCGGUUUCAUCAUCGUCGUCGGUUUGGCUAAUGGCCGCCUUCGUCUGUUACCUGUGUUCAACGGCUGGAGCUCAAGACGCGCGUUUGGUGAUUCUACCCGACGGGGGUAAUCUGAUCCGACCCGUUGGCGCCAAUAUCGUCCUCACCUGUAAAGGUGAAGUGCCCGAUCCCGAACUGAUUAGCGAGUUGCGCUGGCUUGGACCCAACGGCCAAGAACUACCCAACGGAGACAGCGGUGAAGCUGAUAAUUCCAGGAUCUCGUCCGAGGACUUGGCCAGCGAUGUCGGACGCAUCCUCUUCAUCAAAGGACUUCAAGAGGCCGACAGCGGCAAGUAUACCUGCUCGGCCGUCUACACCAGCAGCCAGCGGCUAGAGGCUCACGUCAAUCUCACCACUAUCGUCGGUAUCACAUGGGAGGAUGCCCCGACGGAGCAGUCGGCCAUCUUUGGCCAGCCGUACAAGGUGCGCUGCGUCGUCCGAGCCAACCCACCGGCAACGAUCGACUGGCAGAGGAACGGCGUUGGAUUUACCACUAACAACCAAUACGUGAUCGAGAACGACGGAGUGCUGAUCCGUGAAGUCAGUCUGGAAGAUGACACGUAUUUCACGUGCCGCGCCCGGGUGCAGACGACCGGCCAGCUGGAAGACAGACGAAUCCGAGUUGAAGUCUUUAUCCCGCCCGAAUUCAUCCGCGAGCCGGUCAACACGUCGAUCGUCGAGGGCGAAGGCGGAUUCAUGGAGUGUCAGGCGUCUGGCAAACCCGAUCCGGUUUACACUUGGCUCGAUCGCAACAAUCAGAACCUCAAUCUCAACCGUGAAAGAUUCAUCGUCGAUGAACAAACGGGCCGGUUGACCAUCAACGACGCCAAGAGGACCGACGAAGGCGAGAUCAAAUGUUUGGUUGAAAAUCGAGCCGGCAAGAUCGAGAAAACUGCUUACUUAAAAGUGAUCAUGAAGCCGGUGGUUGUGGAAUACCUGAACGCAUCGGGGAUCAUGGGCCGCGAAGUGAGCCUGACGUGCAAAGCUUCGGGCGAUCCGUUGCCGGAGGUGACGUUCUUAAAGGAAGGAACGUUGAUCCCGUACACGGUCGGCGUUCAAAAUUCGGACGAUCGCAUCAUCGUCGACACGAGCCGCGAGGGUGAAUACGCUCAAGCCCGUCUCGUCAUCCGAGACUUGAUGCGCUCCGAUGACGGCCUCUACGCUUGUAUCGCCAAAAAUAACGGUGGAAAUUAUACGAAAAAUGGUCACAUUACGGUCGAAUUCCCGCCAACAUUCACCGCGACGCCUAUGCGUGAGGCCUGGUCCUGGGACAAUCAUUUGGUCAAUUUGACGUGCCGCGCCGAAUCGAUCCCCAACGCCACCGUCAGCUGGUUCCUCAAUGGCCGCAACCUCGAGAACGACUACAAUAUCCGCAUGAACGCUUUCAACGGCGAGAGCACCAUCACGGUGACGCCGAUCGAUCUCAGCUAUUACGGAACCUACCGCUGCUUGGCCAUGAACAUUCACGGCAAGGACGAACACGCCAUUGAAUUGCGUGAGGCUCGCGCUCCCGGCCCUCUUCUCCAAACGAAAUUCGAGACCAUUACCGCGACGACCAUCACGUUCAAUUUUAUCGGACCGGUGGAUAACGGCGGACUACCCAUUGAGGCGUUUGCCGUUCAAUACAAAUUAGCCGGACAAGUUUGGGAUGAAAAGCCGUUGCAGCGCGUCUGGCCUGUCGAUAUCCCUUACAUCUUGGAGAAUUUGGAGCCGCAGACAAUUUACUCGUUCCGGUUCGCGGCCAAAAACCAGGUGGGUUACGGCGAGUGGUCGCGCGAAGAGACGCACACGAUGCCAAAACGAGCUGCGCCCGAAGAGCCCUACAUCAUCGCCAAAACGGAGAACAAGGUCGUCUCCACUCCUUAUGCCGAUCGUUACGAGCUGCUCUGGUCCGCGCCGCCAAACAAUGGAGAACCCAUUGAUUAUUUCGAAGUCGCUUAUUACCCCGUGCGCAACACUUCGGCCGGAUUGAUCGAAGCUGGCCAAUUGGUCCGCACUCAAGUACCUUACCCGGCCAACGUUCGUUUCGAAAUGAAGAACCUCAAAGCGGACACGAUUUACCGCAUCGAGUUGAGGGCCCACAACGUCAUCGGAUUCAGCGCUCCCGCCGAGAUCCUUCUGCGCACAGCCAAAGACCCUGCCGCAGUUGAAGUAGAACCGUCCACCGCUUCGCCUCGAGAUCCUGCCUCGUCGUCCCCGCCAGGAGUUAAGACCGGCACUUUCGUCAUCAUUGGAGUCAUAGUGGUCGUCCUCAUAUUUAUCGCCUUGAUCAUCGACGUCUCGUGCUACUUUGUCAACAAGAGAGGUUUGACGUACAUGAUUUGCAGUCGAUCAGGUCGGAACAAGAGCAGCGGUCGGAACGGUAGCAACAAAAAUGCAGCGCUCAUGGAAGGUGGCAAAGAGGAACACAAUGACGAGAAAACGCCGCUGAGAGAAGUGACGGUCGAGUUCCAGGAUGCCUCCCGCGACACACCCCGUGCAGACCAACGACAGCAGCAGCAGCAACAGACGGCCCAAGUCGAUCAACCUAGUCCCACUUUGAUCAAAGCUCUGCGUUUCGCUGGCGAUAAACUGCACAAAACCCCAGUAACCACUCGCUGGCCGACUAAUAGUCCUAGUAACGCCGGUUUGUUGGCAACAGACGAUCGGUCAACUGGAAGAGGACCGACUAGUCGGGAGCCCGUCCAGCCGUUAAACAGACGAUUCGAGCCUCUCCAUUCCGACAUUUAAAAGCCGAAACACAUUCUUCUUCUUCUUAUUUUCUUCUUUCUCAUCUUCCUAUCGUAACCCACUCUACACACGCAAAACAACUCCCCCAAAAAUGGCAUGCUCUUCUUUGCCUAGCUUGACGACCAGAAGGAGUUGAUCAAGGAUGAUGUGACAGACAUCAACAACGGUCUCAAGAAGAGCGCGUCCAAGUCCAGUGUGGCCAAAGACUCUCCAGUUUAGCGCGUGUCAAACGUCCGCCCGUAGUAGUACUUUUUUUU